GACUUGGAACCAACCCAAAUGUCCAACAAUGAGAGACUGGAUUAAGAAUUAUGUAUUCUGGAUACUGGACCCUUAUCAGAUGUAUUUGCAAAUGUUUCCCAUUGUGUAAGUUUUUACUUUCUUUGCAGUGUCCUUUGAUGUAAAAAUAGUUUAAACUUUUGAUGGAGACCAAUUUAUCUGUUUUUUCUUUGAUUGCUUAUGCUUUUAGUGUCAUACCUGAGAAUCCAUGAUCAAAUUCAAGGUCAUUGGGAUUUACCCCUAUGUUUUCUGAGUUUAUCUGAUGACACUUUUGUGGAAUAAAAGUGCUCCGAUGUGAGAAUAUAUACAGUCAUGUGCAGUGGGCUUAUGGAGUGCUUGCUCCAGAAGCAUGAAAUCACACUCAACUUAGCAUCUAACCAGGAGAUAGCCCCAUGACUGUGGUCAUUGACCAUAUCACAUAAUUCAUGAUCCAGGAUCAACCAGCCUGAUAGUGUUGGAAUAGCCUGCUAAAAGCACAUUUGAAGCACCAGCACAGAGGCAAUACCCAUGACAGUGGGGUGCCAUUUUCCUGAAUGCCACAUGCACAUUGAAUUUGAAUUUGAAACUUCUAUAGAGUAUUGUGUUCCCAAAAGGAAAAACUAAUCGGCCUGGGAAAAGAGAGAUGAAAACAGGAGUGGCCUCAUUUACCAUCACUCCCAGUGACUCACUAUGGAUUUUGUGCUUCCCAUCCUUACAGUUUGGGGUUCUGCUUGAUUACCAUUCUGAUCUCCAAAGGAGGCUUAUUCUUAUCUGGGGCAGAGCAAGGGUUUUAUUGAACUACAAGCUGUGGCUGCUGUUGAGGCAUUUUGGAGUCUUUAAGCACCAAGCGGGCAGGAAGGAGUUGCCCUUUUUGCAGGGGUAAUUUAUCCUGAUAAAAAGGUAUGUAGGGCUGUUAUUACACAAUAGAAAUAGGAAUAUGUAUGAAACUCAGGUGAUCCACAUGGGCACCUUUGUGGUAAUUCCUUGUCCAAUUAUGACUGUGGAUGGACAAGUGCAGUGACCCCCACCUGAAAAAGUUACUGUUGUCUUGGUUUCAGACCCUUCAAGAAUGAGUGUGUGGGUCACACCACCAGAUAAUUCACCCAGACCUGCAAAGGUAGGUGAUAGCUGCUAAGACAAUUCAGAAUGGAUGGUUGGAGAGAGAGAUGAAUACCAGUUGUGGCCCCAAGACCAACUGCAGUGAUGUGGCUGAGUUUGACCCACUAACCUUUCUUUUUUAAAAGUCUUACCCUCAGGAUGAGAGGCCCACUGAGGAGUAGCUCCCAGGAUAUGCAUGGAGAAGUGGAUUGAUUUGGUACAAGGGGUGAAAAGUGGCAGUUAUGAAGUGUGCUAUUUAGAUCUCCAAAAGAUAACCAUCCACAGGGAGUGCAGUUAUCUGACAGCACCAGUUGCAGAUACCCUCAGGAUCUUCCUUCAGUGUCCACACCAAUGAGCUGAGGCCAUUCAUUCUGGGCAGUCCACAGGCAAUGACUGCACAUGGUGUUGGUAUCAGGGCUCAUCGUUUCCAGCUAGUGUGAGACUCCUCCUCUAUGGGCAGUCUUGGUGUUGGAGCUCACUGCUAAAUUGGUUGAGACUUUCUCAGAAUGAGCACAGUCUGAGGCUCUUCCUACCUAAUCUUACUUCUCCUUUCAUGUGAGUCAAACCUAUAUCAGGGGCAGAAAUAUUUUUUUUCCUGCUUGUGCUCUCUCUCCUCUUUAUAUUUUAUAGGCAUUAUCUCCAACAAACAUCUCGUACUUUGAACUGCAUCUUGGCUUCUUCUUUCCAAAGGACCUCCUCUCCCAGACUUGCAUCAUCAUCACUGGUAGAUGAUAACUUAGGCUUGAAUAAAUUAAGUGGCUCACCUCAGGUCCCACAAAUGUUAAAUGGACUAUUUUUUCACAAUACUUAUUCUCAUACUGAAUAAUAUCCAUGAAAUCACGCAAUUGAUGUGCAAGUUAUAAUUCCCUAAUUCACAUUGAAAGUAUAACUAACUAUUAAAUUUAAAAUAAAAAACAAGACUAAGUCUGGUCAACUUAGUUAUCCCACACUGGAAAAGUACAUAAUAUCACAUUUUUUUUUUGUUGAGAAUUUGUUUGUUCUAUGAAAGCAUAUUUGGCCAAGAGUUAAUUUUUGAGAUUUAGUCAAUGUAGUCAUUCUGAAGAAAUGGAGUACCUAUCGUCUUACUGAGAAACCAAUUUCAAUGCUUAUGGCUGCCAGCCUGUGUUAGACACAUCCAUCAAAACAGCAAAGGAGAUAGUCCAGUUUUAUGCCCUCCAAGCCAAUAUUCUAUUCCUAUGGCCUCUAAAAUGGAGUAUGUGUACUUAAAGAAAUAUGCAAGAUAAUACACAGAGUGACAAAGGAAAUAUUUUAACUAUUUUGUGAACAUAAAAUUAAACUUUUACUAAUAGGUUGGUGCAAAAGGAAUUGCAGCUUUUGCCAUUACAUUCAAUAGCAAAAACCACAAUUACUUUUGAACCAACCAAAUACUUAAAAUAGGCGGACACCAGUUCAUAUAUUCCACAUGCAUAAACUAUGUAUGCUCAAAAAUGGAGACAACUGUUAAAACCUGCUGUCUAAAAUUAACAAAACACAAGCCUUCCAUUCUAGUGGAGAAGAGGACAAAUAUAAUAAAUUAAUGCUAUAUGCAUAUACACUAUACAUAAAGUAUGUCCUAAGAGCUAUGGAGAAAAAUGUAGAAAAGGAGAACAGGGAGUGCUAGUGUGAGAUUCAAGAUUAAAUGUGGUUCUGAGGUAGGACCUCACUGUAAAGGUGAUGACUAAGCAAAGACCCAAAGAGGGUGAGAAAGCCAGCUCUGUAGGUAACUUGAGAAAAAAGUGCUCCAGAGAGAGGAACUAGGAUUGUCCUUUUGCUAGGGGCACAGCCUAAUAAAAGUAUAACUAACGUCCUUUUUUGUUACAAAGCUGGACAUUCAAAACAUUAAACAUAUUAUAACCAAUUUUUGCCAGAGGUUGCAAGUGUUUUUUGUGAAAAAUCAGACCUUGGCGAUGACCUUGAGCAGUAGGAUAUAAAUAACUCCCACAAGCUUAAUGUUCCAAUAAUGGAACACUAGGCAUAGAUAGGUUAAAGAUCAUUGCUAUCCCCAUACUCUGGACCCCUGCCUGAUGAAUACAUUAAGCUGACACCUGAGACACUGAUUCACCAAUUAACAAACUUCAGGCAUGUUGUUAAUGAUAGAACCUUCAUGACAGUGAUCCAGAGUUCCAGAUUCUAGAGUAUUCAGAGGUGGAAAUUCAUAGUCCAUGCUCAAGAUCGAAUGGCAUCUCUCAGACUGGAAGACCUUUCUGAAGUCAGUUCCAGACAUCCCUGGAAGGCUGGAUAAUUUGGGAAAAGGCUGACUCAAUGUAAGAGGAAGAAACUAAAAUCGAGAGAGGUUAAUAAUUGUGCCCGAGGCUACACAGCUACUAAGCAAACCAGAUCUAUGCUCAAAGCCCAUGCAGGACUGUAACCACGGUGCAAGAUCAAUCCUCCUGCUUGGAGAACUGAUCCAACUCCACACCUGUAUCUUCAGGUUGGACUCGCUUCUUCAACCCAUGUACAUGUCCAGUAUUCCUUCAUCAUUGACAAAUACCUUCCUUUGACUUUACUGAUUCUCUGACUACCACCUUUUCAAUGAAGGUAUUUUUUCAGUCAACCAUUUUAACAAAUUCAUCUUUGCUUGGUCUCCAAUUCCUCUCCUUGAAGUUGCUCUUCACAUCACUAUAAACCAGCUUUUGAUCUCAUUGCUUCUUAGAGAGUUAGUAAAAAAAAUGGAUAGAAUAAUAGUUGCAGCUGUUGUAUAUGGCGGUAAACAAUAAAAACUACCAUCAUUUAUUGAGUAUUAUGUGUUCGACAUAGGAAUAAGUACUUCACAUAUCUAUGGAUCUAAGUAUCAAUAAAUACCUACUACAUUUCAGGCACUAUGCCAGGUGCUGGGAAUCAAAUGGUAAACAGGUUACACUUGGUUUCUGUCACCACAGAACUCACAGUCUAUUAGAGGAAAGAGACAAGUAAGCAAGCGAUUAAAAAGCUGCUUCAUAAAUGUCACAAUUGGGCAAAUACUGGGCACUGCAGGUCCACACAGCAAGGGCUAUAAAUCCAGAUUUGAAAAUACUUCCUAGAAGCAACAAUCCAAAGCACAGGGCUAUGGGGUAAAGCAGAGGGAGGAAAGGGGGGUUCCAUGGCAGGAGCUGAGAGUAGCCCCGCAUAGGUGAAGAACAAAGCUCAGCAAGACAGGAGGGGCAUGUGCUGGUGGGGAACGGAGAGAACUGUACUGGAGACUGAGCGAGGAGGUGCUGAAGCUCGGGCCAAGGAACUGAACUUCACCUAAGGGCGAUGACAAAGCCAAGAUCAUCUUGAGCAGAAACUAGCAUGGUCAAGAUUUGCCUUUAGAAAUUUCUCUCUGGCUAGAAUGUGAGAAUGGACUGGGGAGGAAAGGGUGGAUGGUGAGGCAGCACAUCUCUGUGUUUCUCAGCUCUAUCAACACAGAGAUUUCACAAACAUUGGGUAACACAGGAGACUGUUAGACCAACAGAGUGUAAGAAUCAGAACACUGAGGACAGAGAGAAAGGAAUGGAUUAGAGUGAAAUUUAGAAGUAGACAUGAUAAUAGUUGGUAACUGAUCAGAUGUGGGACACAACAGAAAAAGGACAGAUAAGGAAAAUACCCAGAUUUCUGGAAUGGGCCUCUAGGCUUGAGAGAACACCGCAGGAGAAAUGGUGUGAAGAUGAGUUUUAUGCAUCUAUCACCAUUGGUCUCCUCCAUACUACCAUGCCUGGCAUUCCAAGCCAUUUGUGAUCUGACAUGUCUUUUUCAUCCUUGUCUCUUGCCACUAUGCCCCUCACAUUUUGUAUUAGGGGGAGAAAAAAAAUCCACAGUUCCAAGACAAAGAUCUUUCACAUCAGAGUGGCCUGUUACUUGCAUGCCGUGAAUGUCAUUCCCUCCCUAUGUGUACUUGAGAUUCUCCCACUCACAUCUAAUCUUGAGCACAUCAUUUACAACAUUUUUCCUGAGAUCCACCCCUGCUCAGUUAUGCCUCCCUCCUCUGGGCAACCUCCCUACUGGGCUUUGUUACAUCAGUGAGAUACACUGUAAUUAAAUCCCUUUGGCUCUCCAUCUGCACUACCAGGCCUUCUUGGCAGCAUACUGCUUUAUAUGUCUCUGCAUCCCAAGCCAUUUAUUAAUCUACACAGUAAUCCUUUCCUAACCAUCAGUCAGGUACUAUGCUAGAUUUGGCAGCACAAAACCUUAGGCUACAUACCUGCCCUGAAGACACCUCAAGCAAGUGAGAAUCAAUCUCUCUCUCUCUCUCUCUGUCUCUCUCUCUCACACACACACACACACACACACACACACACACACCC
This 5357-nucleotide long non-coding RNA is filed under the name Homo sapiens (human). Its description in RNAcentral is "HSALNT0349351". The record is from RNAcentral. Lineage: Eukaryota; Metazoa; Chordata; Mammalia; Primates; Hominidae.